RNAcentral lists this long non-coding RNA (2737 nucleotides) under Sus scrofa (pig). Its description in RNAcentral is "lncRNA (ENSSSCG00025047285.1)". Lineage: Eukaryota; Metazoa; Chordata; Mammalia; Artiodactyla; Suidae. The record is from RNAcentral.
AGGGCCACACCCAUGGCAUAUGGAGGUUCCCAGGCUAGGGGUCAAAUGAGAGCUACCGCUGCCAGCCUGCACCACAGCCACACAACGCAGGAUCUGAGCCACAUCUGCGACCUACACUACAGCUUAUGACACCACCAGAUCCUUAACCCACUGAGCGAGGCCAGGGAUUGAGCCUGCAACCUCAUGGUUCCUAGUCAGAUUUAUUUCCACUGUUUAGCCUUCAUUGGUGUAAUAAACCCCAGUGCAUUAUGCAACCAACAAAAGGGAUGCUAGGACUUGGAGGUGAUUCUGCGGUACAGUCCUAGAUGAAGGGCUCAAGGGCAAGGGAUUAGGACUCUGGAGACUCCAAUGUAAAAGUCUCAAAAGGUAGGAAUUCACCUUUUCUACUAGUUUGGAGAUUUUGCCAAAUCAUAGCAGAUUUAGAAGGUAACUUUGUCUUAGGAUGUAGGGAUUCAGAGAAGAGAAGCAUCUCUUUGGAUAAAAAGAGGCAACAUUACAUCUGGGGGUUUCUUGUUCUUUAGUGGCUAAAGAGUUCUUGGCUAGGCUCAAGACACAGCACAUUCUAGGUGGGAAUACUGCUCACCAAGCAAACAGAGGACAGGUCAGAAGGCCAACCCAGGCUGCCAUGGCUGCUAGCAACAAUGGAAACCGUGGCUGCCAGUGUGGAGUUGCUACUUUGUGUCAGGGCCUCAUUCUACCAUUAUUUCCCCCUCCCCUUUUUUUGCAACCCUAUGGGGUGGAUAUAAUCAUCUAUAUUUUACAGGAAGGAAAGGAAAAGUGAAGUUCAUCACCAUCAAGGUUAAGUAAUUUGGUCAAAUUCACACAUUUGGUGGUAAGAGACAGAAUUGGGCUUUGACACAUAAUACCCAAGACUGUGCCUAGUGUCCUUCCAGGUGGAGCUAAAGGACUCUCAUUGCAGAAGAGGACAGAUAACCUCAUCUGUCAGUAGACACUGUUUGUUGAUAGGGGCUGAUGAUACAAACCCCUGGGACCAAAAUCUAAGGACCACAUUAAAUUACCUUCAGAAAUUUUCCUCUAGGAAGUCCAAAGGAGAGACAUGGACUUCCUUUGGCUACAAUAACCUCUAUAGGAUGAAGUCUAGCCUUUCCUCUCCAGUUGAACCUGCUCAUGUACAGAAGUUCCAGGAGGCCACAAGGAAACAUUUUCUCAUGCCUGAAAUCUUGGUAGAACCUGGAGCCAAGAGGAUAACAAUCAUCCUGGACUAUUCGACUCCACCCCCAAAAUACCACCUUUGGAAGGCAUCUGGGCUCUUCUAGAUUUAAGUAUUCCAGUCAUAAGUGUCACAAAACAGGAAACACAGAAGGUCUGGGCUCUAUGAUUUGAAUGAUUUUGAGGAAACAAACAAGAAAAUCUUGAAAAACAGAGGAAGGUGAUGAUUUUUAAAACAGAGGGUUAAGUAUAUCACGUAUAAAACUGAUCAAGAAAAAGAACUGGUGUGUAAAUUCAACCUGAACUGAGAACAAGAGAUUCCCAUUCCUCUGGAAUAUCAUGUGUAGUUGAGUAUAAAGGCAUUUCUCCCUAUCUUGUUCCUGUGCUGGGACAAUCAUGGUUCAGAAGGCGAUAGGUUGGUUUUUUUGUUGUUGCUGUUUUUUUUGUUUUGUUUUGUUUUUAGGGCCACAUCUGCGGCAUAUGGAGGUUCCCAGGCUGGGGUAUAGUCAGAGCUUCAGCUGCCAGCCUAUGUCAGAGCCACAGCAAAGCAGGAUCCGAGCCGUGUCUGCAACCUACACCACAGCUCAUGGUAACGUUGGAUCCUUAACCCACUGAGUGAGGCCAGGGAUUGAACCCGCAGCCUCAUGGUUCCUAGUCAGAUUCGUUUCCUCUGCACCACAAUGGGAACUCCCCAGAAAGCAAGAGUAUGGAAGGCAAGAGGCAUGACAUUAUUUGAAGAGCACAUAAAACAGUAUGGGAGGUUCCUUGCAUCCCAACAGACCAAGCUAAAUAAUUGAUCUGAAGUUAUUUCAUCCCUGAGCACAGAUAGCUGAGGCCUGUGAACUGAGUUAAUUCUGUGUUGUGACUCCAGACUGCCCUUGCAUGCAUACACCAGUGGUGUACACUGCAUCUUUAGAGGUUUCUUACACCAGGUUCCUUAAAGGACUUUGUAGCCAAGAAGCCCUGUGGCUCAGUAUAGCACAAGCACAGAUAAGAAAAUAGCAAAGAAAAAGAGGUCCCUGGUGAUCUCAAAGAAUUUUCUCCAAGAACAAACACACAAAAACUGCAACUCUCUCCAGACAUUCUAAUAUUAGCCUUUGACCCCAGCUUCAGCCCAAUCUAGUGGGUUUACUUCAAUCCCAAGGUGGCUGUGGGGCCCAUCACCAGAGCAAGCAGUGAGAUGCAGGAGGAACUCCCCGGCAGAAGAACCAUUGAAAACAAAGUACCAAAGGGAUAGGGCUUAGGUUUCCUGAUGGGAAAGAAAUGGCCAGGCCUCCCUGGGGGGUAUUCUAGAAGACUCAGGAUAAAGGGCCACCACAGCCGAUUUACACAGUUGUAAAGCACCUAUGCUUCAAUUUUAAAACAUUAAAAAUAUUUUCAAAAACAAAAGGAAAUCAUGGGGAGAAUUCUUAAAAAUGAAAAAAACAAUGGCCAAUGUAUUUGUUAGAGGUCAACCAGAAGCUGCUUUUUGAAAUACCAGACAAAAGUAGUCAAAGUGCCAUCUCUCUCCACCUCCUUUGCAUGGUGUCCUUCCCUGGAUCCCACGGCCGCCAAAUGAAAACCUCUA